This 897-nucleotide long non-coding RNA is filed under the name Homo sapiens (human). Its description in RNAcentral is "HSALNT0023438". Lineage: Eukaryota; Metazoa; Chordata; Mammalia; Primates; Hominidae. The record is from RNAcentral.
CCUGACUCUCUCUCACUUGCUCCUGCUGUUGCCAUGUGCCGUGCCUGCUCCCUGUUCACCUUCCACCAUGACUGUAAGCUUCCUGAGGCCUCCCUAGAAGCCAAGCAGAUGCCAGCGCAAUGCUUCCUGUAAAGCUUGCAGAAGCAUGAGCCAACUAAACCUCUUUUCUUUAUAAAGUACCCAGUCUCAGAUAUUUCUUUAUAGCAGUGAAAGAACGGCCUAACGAGGGGCACAGGCACAACCACAGUGGAGAUGGUCUGAGAAGGCCUCGCAGCACAGAUGCUGAGGGGGAUGCAGCGACCUCCUGAAGGGAGGCUGGAGGCAGUUUCCACACAGAAGAAAAGAAAAUGACCGGUAAGGGGGCUUGUGGCAGAGGAAGUGACUGACAGUGAGGGGCAUGCUGGAUCUGGACUGUGCUGACACGGCCACGGACACGGAUACCAGGGCCUACGAGCGCUGACCUUGAGCUGGGUCUGAAACAGAGACGGCACCUUGAAAUGACCACAUGCCAUCGAAGGUAAGGUAAGGGCAGGCAGGGAGCUGGCCCUGGGGCAUGUCCGACAACUCUCCCAGGGGAGUCCUAGAGGACUGCACAGCAGACACAGGUGUGGGUGCCUGAGAUGGCCCCACUUCAGGCCAGAACUCUAACCCAGUGGGGGAGCGUCUGUGCUUGUUGCCUCUGACAUCUUUUCUCUUCAUCUUUGCAUUGCCUGCAUUUCAAUGUAUAGAGGAUGUAUGCCAUGGGUCUGUGUCUAUCCACAGAUGUUUCUAAUGGAUCCACUCAAAUUCUUACAUUCCAGUGAACUCAUUUGUUAGUGGAGGCAGUUGAAUCAUUACACCUAUUAAAACAUGGAUUAACCACAGAAUAAAUGGGUUGGGGUUUGUUCACAGUGGGGG